Molecule: transfer RNA, 50 nt
Filed under: Oxyrrhis marina
Lineage: Eukaryota; Dinophyceae; Oxyrrhinales; Oxyrrhinaceae
Description: partial tRNA
Source: RNAcentral
UGAGUUGUAUGACGCUUGGCUCGGAAGCCAGAGGUCGUAGAUUCGAGUCC